UACGAAGGGGGCUAGCGUUGCUCGGAAUUACUGGGCGUAAAGCGCACGUAGGCGGCUUUCUAAGUCGGGGGUGAAAUCCUGGAGCUCAACUCCAGAACUGCCUUCGAUACUGGAGAGCUUGAGUCCGGGAGAGGUGAGUGGAAUUCCGAGUGUAGAGGUGAAAUUCGUAGAUAUUCGGAAGAACACCAGUGGCGAAGGCGGCUCGCUGGGACGGUACUGACGCUGAGACGCGAAAGCGUGGGGAGCAAACAGGG
This 254-nucleotide ribosomal RNA is filed under the name uncultured bacterium. RNAcentral's name for it is "partial 16S ribosomal RNA". It matches the Rfam family "Bacterial small subunit ribosomal RNA", at positions 524 to 777 of the family's 1533-position model. The record is from RNAcentral.